UACACACCGCCCGUCACACCAUGGAGUGGUUCACAGAAGCCGGUCGCCUAACCGCGAAGGAGGGCGCCGACCACGGUGAGAUUCAUGACUGGGGUG
Molecule: ribosomal RNA, 96 nt
Filed under: uncultured bacterium
Lineage: Bacteria
Description: partial 16S ribosomal RNA
Source: RNAcentral